RNAcentral lists this transfer RNA (67 nucleotides) under Calotes versicolor. Its description in RNAcentral is "tRNA-Glu". The record is from RNAcentral. Lineage: Eukaryota; Metazoa; Chordata; Lepidosauria; Squamata; Agamidae.
GUUUUUAUAGUUGAAUAACAACGCUGAUUUUUCAAGUCAGGGGUCUAAGGGAUACUUAGUAGAAAUU